GAUGAACGCUAGCGGCAGGCUUAAUACAUGCAAGUCAAGGGGGUAGCAAUACUACCGGCGCAUGGGUGAGUAACACGUACAUAACAUACCAUAUACUGGGGUAUAGCUUUGGGAAACUGAAGGUAAUCCCCCAUAACAUUGCGAGAGGGCAUCUGAUUGCAAUUAAAGUUUCGACGGUAUAUGAUUGAUGUGCGUUUGAUUAGCUUGUUGGUAGGGUAACGGCCUACCAAGGCGACGAUCAAUAGCUGGUGUGAGAGCGCGACCAGCCACACUGGAACUGAGACACGGUCCAGACUCCUACGGGAGGCAGCAGUAGGGAAUAUUGGACAAUGGGCGAAAGCCUGAUCCAGCCAUGCCGCGUGAUAGAUGAAGGCCCUCUGGGUUGUAAAUAUCUUUUAUCUGGGAAGAAACAAUCUUAUCUUAAGAUCUUGACGGUACCAGAGGAAUAAGCACCGGCUAACUCCGUGCCAGCAGCCGCGGUAAAGUA
RNAcentral lists this ribosomal RNA (487 nucleotides) under uncultured bacterium. Its description in RNAcentral is "bacterial SSU rRNA". It matches the Rfam family "Bacterial small subunit ribosomal RNA", at positions 28 to 527 of the family's 1533-position model. The record is from RNAcentral.